Molecule: RNA transcript, 1712 nt
Organism: Pistacia vera
Lineage: Eukaryota; Viridiplantae; Streptophyta; Magnoliopsida; Sapindales; Anacardiaceae
Gene name: serine/arginine-rich splicing factor SR30-like
Exons: 13
Source: RefSeq, a predicted model, not a curated record
CGUCCACGUGACACCAGAGGAUCCUUCCCGACUCUCUCUUUCAGCCUCAAGCCCUCACUGAAAGAUGCCACAAGAGCAUUCUUCCAGAACCGUCUUCUUCUCCAUCUUCUAAACCAUUCUAUCUCCACUUUCUUCUGCGAAAAGAGAAAAUGAGCAGCCGAUCGAGCCGUACACUCUACGUGGGGAAUCUUCCUGGAGAUACUCGAAUGAGAGAAGUUGAAGACUUGUUUUACAAGUAUGGGCCCAUUGUUGAUAUUGACUUGAAGAUCCCUCCCAGACCUCCGGGUUAUGCCUUUGUCGAGUUUGAGGAUUACCGUGAUGCUGAAGAUGCAAUUCGUGGUCGGGAUGGCUAUAAUUUUGAUGGAUACAGAUUGCGGGUUGAACUUGCACAUGGGGGGCGAAGACAUUCAUCAUCAGUUGAUCGUUACAGCAGUUACAGUGGUAGUGGAGGUAGCCGUGGAGUUUCUAGGCGCACCGACUAUCGUGUUUUGGUGACUGGAUUACCUUCUUCUGCUUCAUGGCAAGACCUUAAGGAUCACAUGCGUAGAGCUGGGGAUGUCUGUUUCUCUCAAGUGUUUCGUGAUCGUGGGGGUAUGACUGGAAUUGUGGAUUACACAACCUAUGAUGAUAUGAAAUAUGCUAUAAAGAAGCUCAAUGGAUCUGCGUUUCGUAAUGCAUUUUCUCGGUCUUAUGUACGGGUGAGGGAGUAUGAUUCAAGGUACUCUAGAAGCCCUAGUCGCAGUCCAUAUAAUUCAAGAAGCCGAAGUCGUAGCCCAUAUUAUUCAAGAAGCAGAAGUCGCAGCCUCAGCUACAGCGAUAGGAGCAGGAGCAUUUCUCCCAGGGCCAAAUAUUCACGUCGGUCUCCAUCUGUAUCUCCUGCUAGGUCUAGUUCUUACUCAAGAUCACCUGGCCGCUCUUAUUCAAGAUCUCCUUUGCGGCGACCUGGGAUUGGAUGUUAGGAACUUGAUGGGAUGUGGUGCCUAAAGCCUGCAACUCAUUUUGUUCUUGAGGUAAUACUGUUUUUGUUGAUGAGCACCUCUGGAAAAACCCUAAUGGUUUAAUAAUUCUGACAUGUUAUGCAUGCUGUUCCAAUGAAAGCUAGCAUGGAUCAGUAUAAGAAAGAUGGAUGGGUAGCAAUUUUAAAGCUGGAUACUGAUUUAAGUACAAUUGAUUUGACACCAUCCCCAAUGAGUCUGCGCUAUUGACAAGUUCAAGAUUUCUGGCUCUGUCAAACUUUUGCCCAGGAUUCUCGUUAAUUUGGUGAUAUAUAUAGACUGUGUGGAUGUGUUUCUUUCCUGUUGUACUUUGUAUUAUUGUGCGCCAUUCUCUUUUUGCCUGGUUUCUUUUUAUCUUUUGUCUAUUUUAGCUCACAUUACAUGCUGGGGAAGGAUCGGUAGUAAAUGGUGAGGUGCAAUAAUACGAUACUGGUUUGAUGUUUUACUGUUGAUUGCUGCUAAGAUUGAUGGUAAUUUUCUAUUUCUGAAUGUGUUCACAUUGCGGUGGAAAUGGCGUUGAGGCUUAUGGAUCAAAGGUUAUAAAGGAUUGUUCUAUUGAAUUGGAUUGUUUCUGGAAUUUUUUGCAGAUCACCUUCUAGAUCCAGAUCUCCAGUGUCACCUCCUCGCGGCAGACGUGUGAGUAGAAGCCGAAGAGAGCGUAGUCCAAGUUGGAGUCAGAGCAGGAGUCCAAGUGUUUCGCGAUCCCGUUCACCGUCA